Molecule: ribosomal RNA, 696 nt
Filed under: Triticum aestivum (bread wheat)
Lineage: Eukaryota; Viridiplantae; Streptophyta; Magnoliopsida; Poales; Poaceae
Description: partial small subunit ribosomal RNA
Source: RNAcentral
AUGUCGGUGGCUGAGGUGAAGAAGACGGCGUGCGUCACCGGAGGGAGCGGCUACAUCGCUUCAGCACUCAUCAAGCUGCUGCUCGAGAAAGGCUACGCUGUCAAGACGACUGUCAGAGACCCCGAUAACGUGGAGAAGAACUCCCACCUCAAGGACUUGGAAACACUUGGCCCCUUGGAGAUCGUCCAUGCUCAGUUGGAUGAAGAAGGCAGCUUUGAUAACGCAGUUUCCGGCUGUGACUACGUCUUCCUCGUCGCAGCUCCGACGAACCUCGGAUCAGCAGAUCCUGAGAGAGAUCUGAUCGAAGCUGGUGUGCAAGGAACACUUAACGUGAUGAGGUCCUGCGUGAGAGCCGGGACGGUGAAGCGGGUGAUACUGACAUCGUCAGAUGCCGCGGUGUCGAGGAGGCCGCUGCACGGCGGCGGCCACGUGCUGGACGAGAGCUCAUGGUCCGACGUUGAGUAUCUCAGAGCCAACAAGCCACCAACUUGGGGAUACGCGGUUUCCAAGGUGGUUCUGGAGAAGGCGGCGAACGAAUUCGCGGAGGAGAACGGCAUCAGCCUUGUCACCAUGUUGCCCGUGUACACCUUGGGUGCGUCGCCGGACUCCAAGGCCAGAACCAGCGUGCCCAUCACCCUCUCCCUGCGACGAGAAACAGCUGGGCAUCCUGUUAGGCCUGCAGGCGGUCACAGAUGA